Non-coding RNA from Oryza glaberrima (African rice), 192 nucleotides. The record is from Rfam. Lineage: Eukaryota; Viridiplantae; Streptophyta; Magnoliopsida; Poales; Poaceae.
AAAAAAGCAAAUCUUGAAUUUCCGUACCAACGUUUAACUAUCCGUUUUAUAUAAAUUUUUUUAUAAUUAGUAUUUUUAUUGUUGUUAGAUGAUAAAACAUGAUUAAUAUUUUAUACGUGACUUAUUUUUUUAAUUUUUUUAUAUUUUUUUAAAUAAAACGGAUGGUCAAAAGUUAGAUAUGGAAUCAGGGUU